AGAAUCAACGCUGGCGGCGUGCCUAACACAUGCAAGUCGAACGAGAAAGUGGUAGCAAUACCAUGAGUAAAGUGGCGCACGGGUGAGUAACACGUGACUAACCUACCCUUGAGGUGGGGAUAACUGAGGGAAACCUUAGCUAAUACCGCAUAAUACCCACGGGUCAAAGGAGCAAUUCGCUCGAGGAGGGGGUCGCGGCCGAUUAGUUAGUUGGCAGGGUAAUGGCCUACCAAGACGAUGAUCGGUA
This 247-nucleotide ribosomal RNA is filed under the name uncultured bacterium. RNAcentral's name for it is "partial small subunit ribosomal RNA". It matches the Rfam family "Bacterial small subunit ribosomal RNA", at positions 26 to 285 of the family's 1533-position model. The record is from RNAcentral.